AUUGAACGCUGGCGGCAGGCCUAACACAUGCAAGUCGAGCGGAUGAAGGGAGCUUUCUCCUGGAUUCAGCGGCGGACGGGUGAGUAAUGCCUAGGAAUCUGCCUGCUAGUGGGGGAUAACGUCCUGAAACGGGCGCUGAUACCGCAUACGUCCUGAGGGUGCUGGUGGGGGGGCUUCGGACCUCACGCUAUCAGAUGAGCCUAGGUCGGAUUAGAUAGUUGGUGGGGUAAAGGCUUACCAAGCCGACGAUCCGUAACUGGUCUGAGAGAAUGAUCAGUCACCUUAGAGCUGGGACACGGUCCAGACGCCUACGGGAGGGAGCAGUCGGCAAUAUUGGACAAUGGGCGAAAGCCUGAUCCAGCCAGGCCACGUCUGUGAAAGAAAUCUUCGGAGUGUGAAGCCCGUCAAGUGGUGGGGAAGGGCAGUAAGUUGAGACCUAGCUGGAGUGACGUUACCAACAGAAGAAGCACCGGCUAACUACGUG
Molecule: ribosomal RNA, 484 nt
Filed under: uncultured bacterium
Lineage: Bacteria
Description: partial 16S ribosomal RNA
Rfam family: Bacterial small subunit ribosomal RNA
Source: RNAcentral